CUCUGCUCCAGGCUUGAGUAUAGCCGGGAGCCUCCAUCCCAGGCCCCACCAGGGAGGCUGGCUGGGGCCUGGCCGCACUCAUCCAGAACCCUGCUCUGCCUGCAGCCACAGUUCCACAAUGGCGAGUCCGAGGAGAGCCACGAGCAGUUCCUGAAGGCGCUGCAGAACGCCGUCACCACCUUCGUGAACCGCAUGAAGAGUAACCACAUGCGGGGCCGCAGCAUCACCAACGACUCGGCCGUGCUCUCGCUCUUCCAGUCCAUCAACGGCAUGCACCCGCAGCUGCUGGAACUGCUCAACCAGCUGGACGAGCGCAGGCGUAGUGUACUAUGAGGGGCUGCAGGACAAGC
This 350-nucleotide small RNA is filed under the name Pongo abelii (Sumatran orangutan). RNAcentral's name for it is "retained intron". Lineage: Eukaryota; Metazoa; Chordata; Mammalia; Primates; Hominidae. The record is from RNAcentral.